Molecule: non-coding RNA, 309 nt
Organism: Vicia faba (fava bean)
Lineage: Eukaryota; Viridiplantae; Streptophyta; Magnoliopsida; Fabales; Fabaceae
Source: the annotation of a GenBank genome assembly
AUGUUUAAAAAAGAUGUUUUCUCCAAAUCUGAGCAGGGCAUAAUUACCAUUACAACCCUACCCCUAGCCACUGUAUUUUUCUUUUCUUUUUCUCUUGUCUUUUUAUUCUCUUCUCCGUUGGUUUUGUAUCAGAUUCAGUGCUCUUUUACCUCCCAUUUUUCAAUUAAUGCUUCUUUUUGUUUUUCCCUUCAAAUUUCUCACUGUAUCAUCUUUUUCUUACUUUUCCCCCUUUUCUCUUCAUUUGACCUAAAUCAAUUCCAUUUUUUCCGUGAUCGAUUGCACCCUAAUUCACCGUACUCUCUUCUCUAA